RNAcentral lists this long non-coding RNA (1373 nucleotides) under Homo sapiens (human). RNAcentral's name for it is "non-protein coding LINC00662:17". Lineage: Eukaryota; Metazoa; Chordata; Mammalia; Primates; Hominidae. The record is from RNAcentral.
CUUUGUGCUGAGAUUGUAGUCCUGCAGGCGUACAACUAACAAGCUGGGUGCAGAUAAGAGACUACAGCUCCCCGCAUCCCAAGCAAAGGUCCCUCCUCUACGGAGCCCCUCCACGCGUCCACUGCGGUUCCGCCGUGCCAAGGGGAGCUUGGCUGUUCACGGGCCUCACCUGCUAGCGAGAAGAUAGCUUGGCCGGGCGGCUGAUCUCACCUUGUAAUUCUGACACUGUGUCUCCCGGGCUUGUCGGCUUCAUGACUUGUGCCCAAAGUUUGAUUUCUCGCAGACCAGGAGGACCCAUUGGACCCCCGGGCUGGCUGCAGGGCCCACACCUGGGUUAGACCUCGCACAGGGACGCUGCUGCCACUGUAAUAAAGCGUGCCUACACGCUUCUGAAACUGGUGUAGGAACAACCUCAGUUCUGUGAAAGGCGGACGCAGCAGGACAGAAUCUCCGUGGACAUCUGUCUGGAGGAGCAAUUUUACUGCGACAUUUUAAAGAAACAAAUUUAAUUGAUUUCCAAGGGUGUCCAUCGCGCUUCCUUCACUGCCUUGAUCAUGUCGGGGUCACCACCUGCGGGGGUUUGUCCUGCAGACCCUGACUCAACGACGGAUGAAUAAUGUACACUGACACAGAUCUUAUGCUUGUCAGUCCUGCUGAGCAUCCAGGCCACUUACAGACUCCAAGAAGAGUCCUGUCAGCCACGGCUCUGACUUGUUGGCCCUCCCGGCAUUUAUUUAGCACACAUUUAAUGACAGAAGUCUCAGGCUGGAAACACUCUUUUUGUAGAACAUACAAAUGGACAUUUCUAAGCACAUUGAGGCCUAUAAUGAAAAAUCAAAUAUCCCACAAUGAAAACUAGAAGGAAGCUAUCUGUGAUAAUGCUUUGUGGUGUAUGGAUUCAUCUCACUGACUGAAACCUGAGUUUUGAUUCACCAGGUUGGAAACUCUUUCUGCAGAAUCUGCAAAGAAAUAUUUCUGAGCCCAUUGAGGCCUACAGUGGAAAACUGAAUAUUCUGUGAUAAAACUAGAAACACCCUAUCUGUGAAAAUGCUUUGUGAUGUGUGGAUUUUUCUCAUCGAAUGGAACCUCUGUUUUGACUCACAAGGGUGAAACACUAUUUUAGUAGAAUCUAGGAAGAAACAUAUCUGAGCCCAUUUAUGCCUACAGUGAGAAACUGAAUACCCUGCAAUAAAAAGUAGACAGAAGCUAUUUGUAAAAAUGCUUUGUGAUGUGUGGAUUCAGUGUUAAACUUUUAUUUUGAUUCCACAGUUUUGACACCCUAUUUGUAGAAUAUAUGAAUGAACAUUUCUCAGCCCAUUGAGGCCUAUCAUGUGAAACCAAAUAUUUUAUAAUAAAAACUGGAAACAAGUGAU